This 259-nucleotide ribosomal RNA is filed under the name uncultured bacterium. RNAcentral's name for it is "partial 16S ribosomal RNA". It matches the Rfam family "Bacterial small subunit ribosomal RNA", at positions 96 to 354 of the family's 1533-position model. The record is from RNAcentral.
CGGCGGACGGGUGAGUAACGCGUGGGCAACCUGCCUUACACAGGGGGAUAACAGUUAGAAAUGACUGCUAAUACCGCAUAAGACCGCGGAACCGCAUGGUUCUGAGGUUAAAAACUCCGGUGGUGUAAGAUGGGCCCGCGUCUGAUUAGGUAGUUGGUGAGGUAACGGCUCACCAAGCCGACGAUCAGUAGCCGACCUGAGAGGGUGACCGGCCACAUUGGGACUGAGACACGGCCCAGACUCCUACGGAAGGCAGCAG